Molecule: long non-coding RNA, 997 nt
Organism: Alexandromys fortis (reed vole)
Lineage: Eukaryota; Metazoa; Chordata; Mammalia; Rodentia; Cricetidae
Exons: 5
Source: RefSeq, a predicted model, not a curated record
CUCCGGUGCUGGGAUUUUGAACACGCACCGCCAUGCCUGGUGUAUGCAGUGCUGGGGACUGAGUUCCAGACUCCUGCAUGCUCAGCAAGCUUCCAUUGAAUCUGGACUCUGAGGAAGACGAGCCUGGGGCUGCUGUGCAAUAUGAAGAGACGGCUUUCUUUAACCCUAGGUGUGGUUUUUCUCACGUCACUGAGCUUAUGGGGCUCCUGAGAAGACUGGGCUUUGGGAUCAGUACUUUCUGGGUGUGAACGAGGAAGCAGAUAGUUGGUUGGAUAAAUUCUGGCAACAUGAACAGGACUAGACACGGGUGUUUGCAGCUCAGUCCUCCACUGUGAGACAAGAAUCUCUCACAGUCGCAGCCCAGCGAGGUGUUGAACAAAGGAGGGAGCCUGGAGGCCAAAUGGUGGCUCCCAGGAAAUGCAGACACUCUGGAGAAGUACGGGGUACAUUCAUGCAUCAGAGACGAAGACAGCACAAGCCAGCAAACACGAGGCACGAGGCCAUCCUCUCCUCAGACUGGAUGGGUGCCCCUGUCUGGCCUUUUCUGUGACCGGAGUCUUUUCUGUUGGUGCCAUUCCAACCUGGAUCCUCAUGGCUCAGCCUCACCACCACUAGGAUUACAGUGUGCUCUGCCAGGUGGCUGUGCCUUAGAGUCUGACGUGCUAUCUGACUUCUCAAUAAUAUUCCAGAGAGGCCUCCCAAAGAACACCCACUUGUAAUAAAAGUUAAAGAGCAACAAGAAGUAAAUACCGAGUCUGCAAAUCUGUUCCUCGAUGAUGUCCGAGAACACUGGCUACUUUGUUCAAUUUUUAGACAGGAACAUGGGCAUUUGUCCAAAAUUCCACAUGCAGAAGGGCAACGAUGGGUGCUGAUUUCAUCCAACACAGACUCCUGGGUCUCGGCAGGAGGAGUCUCACCUUGUGUGCGUUUGCAGAGAAGAGUGUACGUGGAGCGACCUGAAGCCUUUUCUUACCUCAUCUUUUAAAGCAAAGCACAA